CCUACGGGGCGCUGCAGUGAGGAAUAUUGGUCAAUGGACGCAAGUCUGAACCAGCCAUGCCGCGUGCAGGAAGACGGUUCUAUGAGUUGUAAACUGCUUUUGUCCGAGGGUAAACGCAGAUACGCGUACCUGUCUGACAGUAUAGUACGAAUAAGCAUCGGCUAACUCCGUGCCAGCAGCCGCGGUAAUACGGAGGAUUCAAGCGUUAUCCGGAUUUAUUGGGUUUAAAGGGUGCGUAGGCGGAUUGUUAAGUCAGCGGUAAAAUGUCCGGGCUCAACCCGGGCCGGCCGUUGAAACUGGGGAUCUUGAAGGGGCGAGAAGUAUGCGGAAUGCGUGGUGUAGCGGUGAAAUGCAUAGAUAUCACGCAGAACUCCGAGUGCGAAGGCAGCAUACCGGCGCCCGACUGACGCUGAGGCACGAAAGCGUGGGGAUCGAACAGGAUUAGAUACCCUUGUAGUC
RNAcentral lists this ribosomal RNA (459 nucleotides) under uncultured bacterium. RNAcentral describes it as "partial 16S ribosomal RNA". It matches the Rfam family "Bacterial small subunit ribosomal RNA", at positions 338 to 795 of the family's 1533-position model. The record is from RNAcentral.